UAAUACCGCAUACGAUCUACGGAUGAAAGCAGGGGACCGCAAGGCCUUGCGCGGACGGAGCGGCCGAUGGCAGAUUAGGUAGUUGGUGGGAUAAAAGCUUACCAAGCCGACGAUCUGUAGCUGGUCUGAGAGGACGACCAGCCACACUGGGACUGAGACACGGCCCAGACUCCUACGGGAGGCAGCAGUGGGGAAUUUUGGACAAUGGGCGAAAGCCUG
Molecule: ribosomal RNA, 219 nt
Filed under: Paracidovorax valerianellae
Lineage: Bacteria; Pseudomonadati; Pseudomonadota; Betaproteobacteria; Burkholderiales; Comamonadaceae
Description: partial 16S ribosomal RNA
Rfam family: Bacterial small subunit ribosomal RNA
Source: RNAcentral